CAUUAAAGAGUUCUAUAACUCCCAAACCCAUGUGAACAUACCUAACGUUGCCUCGGCAGGUCGCACCUACCUUGUAGCACCUUACCCUGUAAGGCCUACCCGGGAGGUGCGGGUAAGCCUGCCGGCGGCCCACCAAACUCUGUUUGAUAUUGAAUUCUGAACCUAUAACUAAAUAAGUUAAAACUUUCAACAACGGAUCUCUUGGUUCUGGCAUCGAUGAAGAACGCAGCGAAAUGCGAUAAGUAAUGUGAAUUGCAGAAUUCAGUGAAUCAUCGAAUCUUUGAACGCAUAUUGCGCCCAUUAGUAUUCUAGUGGGCAGGACCGUUCGAGCGUCAUUUCAACCCUUAAGCCUUCGUUGCUUAGUGUUGGGAGCCUACGGCAACGUAGCUCCUCAAAGUUAGUGGCGGAGUUGGUUCACACUCUAGACGUAGUAAUUUUUUAUCUCGCCUAUUAGUUGAACUAAUACCCUGCCGUAAAACCCCCAAUUUAUCAAGGUUGACCUCGAAUCGGUUCAGACAAACUCGCUAAAUUGAAGCAUCUUA
Molecule: ribosomal RNA, 542 nt
Filed under: fungal endophyte
Lineage: Eukaryota; Fungi
Description: eukaryotic LSU rRNA
Rfam family: 5.8S ribosomal RNA (bases 182-335)
Source: RNAcentral